This 411-nucleotide long non-coding RNA is filed under the name Lathyrus oleraceus (garden pea). RNAcentral describes it as "Pisum sativum (pea) long non-coding RNA (PSAT_LNC003904)". Lineage: Eukaryota; Viridiplantae; Streptophyta; Magnoliopsida; Fabales; Fabaceae. The record is from RNAcentral.
UAACAUCACGAGCUUAAUCCACCAUGGGGUUUGAAUAUCCUUUAUGAUUCCAUAUUAUUUAAACUUCUAUAUCAUCGUUCUCCAUCUGAAUGAUGCAUCCCCGGUUUCGUUCCCCCCCUCACCAUGUUAAUAGAGACUGUUAUGAAUGCAAAUAACAGAGUCUAUAACACAGUGGAAAAGUGAUAAAAAUUGUACUAAUAAUCAGUGCAACAGUACAAUUAUCCUUGAAGGAAAUGGAAAGAUGAAAUCUAAAGAAUAGUACUAGAAAAGCAUAAGCUUCAUAGAGAGAAGAGAGCCAUAUUCUUUCACAUUCAAUUCCCCCCCUCUAGUAACCAAUCAUUGGCCUAUUUAACAUAGUCAGUGACAUAUUUUCUGUUAGAGCUCCUUUCUCUCAUUCCACGUCUUGGCUCC